GUUUCUUCUUCUUCUUAUAUAUAAUUUAACAGCAAUUGCAGGAGGAUCACCUAAAACAAUAACAACUUUAACAUAGUCAGCUGCAGUCUCUGUUCUUUUCUGGAGAGAAACAAAAGUUGAUUGAUGGAUGUUAACAUGUUGAAUUCAAACAUUUAUUCAAAGUGUAAAAGUUUGCAAUACAAACACAUUUAAAUGUUAUCCAGAUCAUGCACCAAAAUCAACGCUCAUGUUCAACAAUCAUCUAGGAGUAAGUGCGUACGAAAAUACAGGCCAUUCUCGAAGACGAUCAAAUACCGAAGUUUGACAAUUGUGACCAAGCUGUGGUAGCUACAGACAUGUAUUUAUGCUCAUUUUAAUCUCUGUAUAUUUUAGAUCAGCGUUUUCCAAACUGUGAGGCGCG
Nicrophorus vespilloides is the source of this 400-nucleotide long non-coding RNA. RefSeq lists it as uncharacterized. Lineage: Eukaryota; Metazoa; Arthropoda; Insecta; Coleoptera; Silphidae. The record is from RefSeq and is a predicted model, not a curated record. The transcript is spliced from 3 exons.